CAUCAGGGAGGUGAUGCCAUGAUAUUCAAGUGAACUGGAAUUUAGUGAGGGAGGGCUGUGCAGUCACCAGCCUCACUUUCUCCUCCAGAGCCAUCUGGGUCCAAUGGCAAGAUACAGAUCAGGAUGACUGAAGAUGGCCCUGGAUGCAGUGGGAGACCUUGCAAGGGAAUCAAGGUAUUGGACUUUGUCUCAGUAGGAGUUGCCUCAUGAAGCAUUUCCUAGGUCCUGGGCUUUGCAUAUGAUGGCUCACAAUGUAGUGGUACAGAUCUGCUUUCUCUAAGUAAAAUGUGCUUUAAACACGGGUUUAGGACCCAGGAAUUGACAUCUGCUGUUACAGAGUCAUUUGCCCUAGUUGCUGGUGGCCAUGUGUGCUGGUGUGGAGUUGACAAAUUUCAACAAUUGACUGUACCACAAAAUGGGCUGAUCCGGUCCAUUCCAUCUGUUCUUUCUGGUGGAGGGAUUCAUAAGCAGGAGAAUGACCAAGAGCCUAGAGGAAGAAGAAAUAAACUCCACAUCACAUAAUGAGUACCCAAGGAACCAAGAAUCGACAUCAAUGAAGUAACCACCAUGGUGAACUGUCACAGUCAAUUAGGGCUCUGAGCCAAUAGUAAUAAAGUAUUUAAGUGAAUGUAUUAGACCUAAAGA
Molecule: long non-coding RNA, 645 nt
Filed under: Phascolarctos cinereus (koala)
Lineage: Eukaryota; Metazoa; Chordata; Mammalia; Diprotodontia; Phascolarctidae
Description: lncRNA (ENSPCIG00000032308.1)
Source: RNAcentral